This 31-nucleotide non-coding RNA is filed under the name Mus musculus (house mouse). The record is from RNAcentral. Lineage: Eukaryota; Metazoa; Chordata; Mammalia; Rodentia; Muridae.
ACGCUGUCUCUUUGAAGACAAAGGUUGUCCU